UACGGAAGGUGCAAGCGUUGUUCGGAUUGACUGGGCGUAAAGAGCACGUAGGCGGAUUCAUAAGUCGAAUGUGAAAGCCCAGGGCUUAACCCUGGAACUGCAUUCGAAACUGUGAGUCUUGAAUGUUUGAGAGGUUGGCGGAAUUCCAGGUGUAGGAGUGAAAUCCGUAGAUAUCUGGAGGAACACCGGAGGCGAAGGCGGCUAACUGGCAAAACAUUGACGCUGAGGUGCGAAAGCGUGGGUAGCAAACAGG
RNAcentral lists this ribosomal RNA (253 nucleotides) under uncultured bacterium. Its description in RNAcentral is "partial 16S ribosomal RNA". It matches the Rfam family "Bacterial small subunit ribosomal RNA", at positions 524 to 776 of the family's 1533-position model. The record is from RNAcentral.